AUACCUACACAAGUAUUUCCACAGCAACAUCUGAGAGACACGUAAAAACGUAGGAAAGAGAAAUUAGUUAUCUGUUUCUGGUGUUGAAACUCAGCUCUGCUAUCUAGUGACCUGGAGCACUUCCGUUGUGGAAUCCCCUCCAUUGUGUUUUCCUAUUUGUGGCGCGUUUCUGUUGGGUAUGGAGGACUAAAAGUGCCAAAAUUAAAUAAAUAAAUACAUCAUUAAAUAAUUAAUUAAAUGUCAUUAAUUAAUUAAAAUUUGAAUUAAAUAUUUCAUUAAUUAAUUAAAAUUGGAAUUAAAUACAUAAAUGUGUUAUUAAAUAUGUCAUUAAUUCAUUAAAAUACCAAUUCAUUUUAAGUAAAAAACAUAUUUUAUUAUUUCACUAUUUAAUUAAUUAUUUCAUGGUCCUUGUGUUGCAGUGGAUCAUGAAUUUAUUUUAUCUGUCAACCUCACCGUCAAAGUCGGUCGGCGGAUCCUAACACCUGAUUGGUUACCCUGCACAUCAAGUCAAGGCAAAUCGAUUCCAGAUAAUGGAUUGAUGCAGAGCUUGUGAACACAUUCCGAUACACUGGGUGGCGCUAUUCACCUCUACGUUGGUUUGGAUACUCAAUAAAACUUUAUUAGCAACCGCUAAAGACUCGGUACUCUUUCCCAAAUGUUGAUACAUGCGGUGCAAGACAAAAUUUCCUUUAGCACCUACUCGGCGCGCCACGGCUCGUCUCGGUUUAGUUGUUUUUCCAUCACAUUGAGUACCACCUCAUCGUGGGUUGAGUCGUCAUAGCACGGCGGCCCGAAAGUCCCUUACCGUCAUUUCUGUGCCACACAAACGCAAUGCAACAAUGUACAUGGAGGCGAUAGUACACCUGCUGCUCGGUCUGUGGCUUUCUGUCAGAUUCAGCGUAAUAGAAGAGUCGGAGAAAGCUGAGAGCGGCGAAUCGAAACACUGAGGAGACACAGGAGAGUUUGGGAGGCGAUGCAGCAGCAUCAAGCCGAAGACAAGAGGAUAUGAACGAGACGACAUAUGAGGAUGGCUCUCUUAUGAGACUUCAUGGGAUUUACCUGAAGCAGCAGCACAUGAGCCUGCAGUGGCACAAGGUGUAGAGGAGGAGGGCAGAGAUGUACAGGAUGCACUGAUGCAGUACGUGUCAUGCAAAGUUAUUCUUCUUGUUAUACUUCUGUUUUUCGGUCCCCGGACCGCUAUUGUUUUCUUUAAUGCAAUUCUGACAAUAAACUUUUGUAGAUGUGUCUA
Molecule: long non-coding RNA, 1249 nt
Organism: Amphiprion ocellaris (clown anemonefish)
Lineage: Eukaryota; Metazoa; Chordata; Actinopteri; Pomacentridae
Exons: 2
Source: RefSeq, a predicted model, not a curated record